AAAAGCAGGUUGGUGGAUCACGCACUUUGCUAUCUUUCGAUCCUUUUCAAUUCAAUUAAAUUAAUUUUGUCCUUCCUUCUGAACUCACACUUGACAACACUAACAAGAAAGCUAUAAACAACGCACAUAUACAUUUAAUAAGUAUCUUCCCAAAGGGAAUACUUCCUUAAACAGCCCGCAAUUAAUCUCCCACUAUAUUCUUCAUUCCCAGAUUUUUUUUAUCUGUAUCGAUCUUGACCUUGAUGAUUUCUUGGACAUAGUUGGAAAAUAGACAAAUUAUAAAAAGAAUAAACAGAAAAAACCUAAUUUUGAUCAUUCUUGAUCUUUUGAUGAAGAUGAUGAUGGAAGAAAAGGUACAAUUUUGAUGUUGAUGUGAAAUGGAUCUGAAACCCUAAAAAACCAUCAGUUUUGGAACUCAAGACAAAAAAAAUUGCUUCAUUUUUCACCAAGGGGAAGUGCUGUUGAAGGAACCAGUAGCUGAUUGAUCAUUGACGGAAUUGCAAAGACAGACUUUUUUGUGGAGUAGUUACUGCCUACUUAGCUGAUAAAUACUCAUAUUAUCUAUUGAAACAUGCAUGCCAGAUAUCGCAAUCCGGUAAAUAGGAAUAGGUCUAGUUCAAUGGGGUUUGGAGAUGUGGGGGCUUCGCCUGAGCGAUUCGUGAGAGGUCGGGGUGAGUACAGAAACUAUAACCGUGUGGUUUUUGGGCGUGGCCAGUCAAAGCAGUUCGCAAUGCCACAUGGAAAUGAAAUUUUCAUGGAAGCUGGACGGUUAGCGGCUGAGUACCUUGUUUCCAAGGGGUUAUUGCCGCCAAGUGCUCUUUCUGGGAAGUAUCAAAAUGGUAGCUUAAAGAACCCGGUCGGAGAAUUUCAGGGGUUUAGGUCACAGGAGGCUGAUUUUAUGCGGGUCUCUGUGGAAGGUCGAAUAUUAGGAGGUGAUGUAGGCCAUGGUAGGAAAGGUUUUCCUGAUGAAUAUAACUCAAUGGGUUCAAGAAGCUCUAUGAGAGAAAGGAGAAGAAAUGGAACCGUUAAAAGUUAUGGCUCUGAGUUCAAUCGAGAAUUAGGAAGAAGUGGGUCGUGGAAUAGAGUCAGAAACUCUCCUGAUGUGGAUGGUCUAGAUAAUGCUUUUACUGGGAAUAGAGAUGAACAGCAAGUAGCUAAGGAUAGUGAUGGGGUGUUGCAAAAUUCUCCUCCCAGGAAAAUAAAUCAUGAAAUUGAAAGUUCAGGCAACUCACUGGUUGAUUCGGAGCCUGCAGGCCAAAACAAGGCAGAGGAUGAUGCCGGUAAAAAGGCAAGUCCUAUUAGCAGUGCAAAUAAUCUUUCAUCAGAGGAUGAACGACAACAUAAUGAGGACUGUGUUGAAAUUGACGCCUCAAAAAUAGAAGUUGACCAGGUUGAUGAUGCAGGUAAAAAGGCAAGUCUUAUUAGCACUGCAACUAAUCUUCCACCAAAGGAUGAACGACAAAAUAAUGAGAAGUGUGUUGAAAUUGAAGCCUCAAAAAUAGAAAUUGAUCAGGUUGAUGAAAACAACAGUAAUGGUGAUUUGGAGAGAAAAGCUGCCAAGGACAUAGCAGAUAAGCAGCCGAGCAAGAGUAGUAAUGAUUUACUUAGUUUCUGGAGGUUUAAGCAGGUUCCCAAAAAGACUCGCUCUUCAUUGGCAAAUAGAGUUCUGAAGGUUUGUGAUAAUGCAGUAAUCGAAGAUGAGAACUCCCGUGAGAUGGAGAUUCCAAAGGAUACUCAAAAGCACUCAGAAGUGAACCAUGUGGAUGUUUCCCCUGGUGUAAUUUCAUCUCCUCAUAGUCAUGAUGCACGAAACCUUGAUUCUGGCAAGUCAGAACCUCUUGAUUUGGAGGAAGAAUCAUGUUGUUCUCACGUCAUUAAACAGGUAAAUGAGAUGGGUUCCUCGUCUUUUGGAGACAGCAUGGUAAUAAAGAAGGGUGAAACAAUUCUGGAGUUACCUGGAUUUGAAAGUUGCAGUUCUAUUAACUUGGAAAGAGGAGAGAAACGAGCAGUAGAGCAUGAUGAUGACUUUACAGUGGGAACUAAGAAACCUAGAGAAUUGGCUUCAUCAAUGUGUGCUCUCUCAGAUGGUAUUCUGUACCAUUCUAACUCCAUGGACGACUGGCCGAAUUCACAUGAACCGGAUGAGAAGAAGUUGGUUGACGUUCCUCUGAUUACCAAGAGUGACAUGGAGCCAGGCACUGACUUUACGGAAAAACAACUUUUUCCAGGCUCCUUGAAAACUUGUGACCUCAAUCUCUUGGAAGCUUCUGAUGUGAAUGAGACUCAAAAUGCUGAUCCUGUUCAUAUCUUCCCAGGGAUAACUGGAAGUGUAAAACAAGAAGCACCAGUUGAUUUUGAUCUGACCAUAAGUAAUAACUGCGAUACAGCUAGUAAAUAUGCUAAAUCUGGCUUUGAUGAUAUUGACAUUGAGGUGAUUGAUUUGGAAAAUGAUUUUGAACAAGAAGACAAGGCUUUAAAUAAUCCAGAGACAAGGUCUGAAGUUGUAUUUACUGGAUCAGAUGGUUUUUCUAAUAACCCACAUGGUACCGACAAUAUUCCUGAUGUUCAUGACGGUUAUGGACUGAUGAUAUCAGAAUUGCUUGGGAAUGAUAUACCAAGCUGUUCUUCUGUACCAGAAAAUAUGAGUUCUUUACACAGUGAUAUGGGCCUGCAUAAUGGAGAGGGAAUGCUUGGCGAUGAUGAUUCGAUAUAUAUGUCUUUGGGAGAAAUACCGAUAAGUAUGCUAAAGAUCUUUUCUCAUGCGUUUGAAUCUGAUCUUACUAUUUGAGGGUGUUUUUGGAGGAAAUCCUGUGUGUUCGGAGACAUGGUUGUUCCAUGAUCCAACCUAUAUUAUGGCCUUCUGAGGGCCUGGGAGCAGCAGACACAAGAAUUCGGUAAGCCAUUUUAAGUUAUUACCUCUCCAGGUUUUCGUGAAAUAUAGUAUGCAAUAAUCAUCUGUAUAGCUAAUUUUAGUUGUCAAAGAUUAGGUCUAUGCUACAGCAACUUCAUCUAUACUUAAUGGCUGAUGUAAGUACCAUCCCCCCGCCCCUCCCUCCCUCUUCUCCUCUUCUUCUCUGUUGAAGGGACGUAGUCAAAUGUAUUUUCUUUACUCCUUUUCUGUUUCGCUCUUUUUUAGUUUUAUUACACAGUUGGCCACUCUUGAUUAAAAGAUUAGCAGUCAAGUACUUCCCUGA
Lycium ferocissimum is the source of this 3194-nucleotide RNA transcript. RefSeq lists it as uncharacterized. The transcript has 5 exons. Lineage: Eukaryota; Viridiplantae; Streptophyta; Magnoliopsida; Solanales; Solanaceae. The record is from RefSeq and is a predicted model, not a curated record.